Molecule: ribosomal RNA, 579 nt
Filed under: uncultured Pantoea sp.
Lineage: Bacteria; Pseudomonadati; Pseudomonadota; Gammaproteobacteria; Enterobacterales; Erwiniaceae
Description: bacterial SSU rRNA
Rfam family: Bacterial small subunit ribosomal RNA
Source: RNAcentral
ACGGGUGAGUAAUGUCUGGGGAUCUGCCCGAUAGAGGGGGAUAACCACUGGAAACGGUGGCUAAUACCGCAUAACGUCGCAAGACCAAAGAGGGGGACCUUCGGGCCUCUCACUAUCGGAUGAACCCAGAUGGGAUUAGCUAGUAGGCGGGGUAAUGGCCCACCUAGGCGACGAUCCCUAGCUGGUCUGAGAGGAUGACCAGCCACACUGGAACUGAGACACGGUCCAGACUCCUACGGGAGGCAGCAGUGGGGAAUAUUGCACAAUGGGCGCAAGCCUGAUGCAGCCAUGCCGCGUGUAUGAAGAAGGCCUUCGGGUUGUAAAGUACUUUCAGCGGGGAGGAAGGCGAUGCGGUUAAUAACCGCGUCGAUUGACGUUACCCGCAGAAGAAGCACCGGCUAACUCCGUGCCAGCAGCCGCGGUAAUACGGAGGGUGCAAGCGUUAAUCGGAAUUACUGGGCGUAAAGCGCACGCAGGCGGUCUGUUAAGUCAGAUGUGAAAUCCCCGGGCUUAACCUGGGAACUGCAUUUGAAACUGGCAGGCUUGAGUCUUGUAGAGGGGGGUAGAAUUCCAGGUGUA